Molecule: ribosomal RNA, 442 nt
Filed under: uncultured bacterium
Lineage: Bacteria
Description: partial 16S ribosomal RNA
Rfam family: Bacterial small subunit ribosomal RNA
Source: RNAcentral
CCUACGGGAGGCAGCAGUGGGGAAUAUUGGGCAAUGGAGGCAACUCUGACCCAGCAACGCCGCGUGAAGGAAGAAGGCCUUAGGGUUGUAAACUUAUGUUGUAAAGGAAGAAAAGAAUGACGGUACUUUACAAGAAAGCCCCGGCUAACUAUGUGCCAGCAGCCGCGGUAAUACGGAGGAUGCGAGCGUUAUCCGGAUUUAUUGGGUUUAAAGGGUGCGUAGGCGGACUGUUAAGUCAGCGGUAAAAGCCCGGGGCUCAACCCCGGCGAGCCGUUGAAACUGGCUGUCUUGAGAUGUCGAGAGGUAUGCGGAAUGCGCAGUGUAGCGGUGAAAUGCUUAGAUAUUGCGCAGAACUCCGAUUGCGAAGGCAGCAUACCGGCGGCGAUCUGACGCUGAGGCACGAAAGCGUGGGUAUCGAACAGGAUUAGAUACCCUUGUAGUC